GGCCGCGGGAAUUCGAUUCAGGCCUAACACAUGCAAGUCGAGCGGGGUUUUCGGACCUAGCGGCGGACGGGUGAGUAAUGCGUAGGAAGCUACCCGACAGAGGGGGAUACCAGUUGGAAACGACUGUUAAUACCGCAUAAUGUCUACGGACCAAAGUGUGGGACCUUCGGGCCACAUGCUGUCGGAUGCGCCUACGUGGGAUUAGCUAGUUGGUGAGGUAAUGGCUCACCAAGGCGACGAUCCCUAGCUGGUUUGAGAGGAUGAUCAGCCACACUGGAACUGAGACACGGUCCAGACUCCUACGGGAGGCAGCAGUGGGGAAUAUUGGACAAUGGGCGCAAGCCUGAUCCAGCCAUGCCGCGUGUGUGAAGAAGGCCUUCGGGUUGUAAAGCACUUUCAGCGAGGAGGAAGGGUUGUGUGUUAAUAGUACACAGCCUUGACGUACUCGCAGA
RNAcentral lists this ribosomal RNA (452 nucleotides) under uncultured bacterium. RNAcentral's name for it is "bacterial SSU rRNA". It matches the Rfam family "Bacterial small subunit ribosomal RNA", at positions 39 to 485 of the family's 1533-position model. The record is from RNAcentral.